UCCGUAGGUGAACCUGCGGAAGGAUCAUUACCAUAGAAACCAGGCCUAGCCUGGCCUCUUCUAUUACCCUUGUUUUUCGAGUACCAAUGUUUCCUUGGUGGGCUUGCCUGCCAAUAGGACAAACUAUAAAACCUUUUUAAUUUUCAAUCAGCGUCUGAAUAAACGUAAUAAUUACAACUUUCAACAACGGAUCUCUUGGUUCUGGCAUCGAUGAAGAACGCAGCGAAAUGCGAUAAGUAGUGUGAAUUGCAGAAUUCAGUGAAUCAUCGAAUCUUUGAACGCACAUUGCGCCCCUUGGUAUUCCAUGGGGCAUGCCUGUUCGAGCGUCAUUUGUACCUUCAAGCUCUGCUUGGUGUUGGGUGUUUGUCUCGCCUCUGCGUGUAGACUCGCCUUAAAACAAUUGGCAGCCGGCGUAUUGAUUUCGGAGCGCAGUACAUCUCGCGCUUUGCACUCGUAACGACGACGUCCAAAAGUACUUUUUACACUCUUGACCUCGGAUCAGGUAGGGAUACCCGCUGAACUUAAGCAUAUCAAUAAGCGGAGGAAGUCGGACUGGCCAAGGGGCACACCAGGGGGGGGGGAUA
Molecule: ribosomal RNA, 584 nt
Filed under: uncultured fungus
Lineage: Eukaryota; Fungi
Description: eukaryotic LSU rRNA
Rfam family: 5.8S ribosomal RNA (bases 176-329)
Source: RNAcentral